RNAcentral lists this ribosomal RNA (427 nucleotides) under uncultured bacterium. Its description in RNAcentral is "partial 16S ribosomal RNA". It matches the Rfam family "Bacterial small subunit ribosomal RNA", at positions 355 to 774 of the family's 1533-position model. The record is from RNAcentral.
UGGGGAAUAUUGCACAAUGGGCGCAAGCCUGAUGCAGCCAUGCCGCGUGUAUGAAGAAGGCCUUCGGGUUGUAAAGUACUUUCAGCGAGGAGGAAGGCAUUAAGGUUAAUAACCUUGGUGAUUGACGUUACUCGCAGAAGAAGCACCGGCUAACUCCGUGCCAGCAGCCGCGGUAAUACGGAGGGUGCAAGCGUUAAUCGGAAUUACUGGGCGUAAAGCGCACGCAGGCGGUCUGUCAAGUCGGAUGUGAAAUCCCCGGGCUCAACCUGGGAACUGCAUUCGAAACUGGCAGGCUAGAGUCUUGUAGAGGGGGGUAGAAUUCCAGGUGUAGCGGUGAAAUGCGUAGAGAUCUGGAGGAAUACCGGUGGCGAAGGCGGCCCCCUGGACAAAGACUGACGCUUAGGUGCGAAAGCGUGGGGAGCAAACA